CAGUAGCGUAUAUUAAAGUUGUUGCAGUUAAAAAGCUCGUAGUUGGAUUUCUGGUACGCUGCGCCUGGCCCGCCCACGUUAGUGGUGUGAGUGUCGGUGCGCGGUUGCCAUCCUUCUAGAGAACGUGUCUACCUUUAAUUAGGCCGGAUACGGGAUCUAGAUCAUUUACUUUGAAAAAUUAGAGUGUUUAAAGCAGGCUUUUGCUAUGAAUACAUUAGCAUGGAAUAAUAAUAUAGGACUUUGGUUCUAUUUUGUUGGUUUCUAGGACUAAAGUAAUGAUUGAUAGGGAUAGUUGGGGGUGCUAGUAUUCAGCGGCCAGAGGUGAAAUUCUUGGACCGUCUGAAGACUGACUACUGCGAAAGCAUUUGCCAAGAGUGUUUUCAUUAAUCAAGAACGAAAGUUAGAGGUUCGAAGACGAUCAGAUACCAU
RNAcentral lists this ribosomal RNA (429 nucleotides) under uncultured eukaryote. RNAcentral's name for it is "SSU rRNA". It matches the Rfam family "Eukaryotic small subunit ribosomal RNA", at positions 592 to 1018 of the family's 1831-position model. The record is from RNAcentral.